AACAUUCCAGUGAAAUAAUUUUCCUUCCUGACUCCACUCCACCAUGUGUGUGGUAGCAUGUGUGUGUGUGUGUGUGUGUGUGUGUGAGAAGGAAGAAAAAAUAUACACAAUAAUUGCAGCUAUAGGUUCAGCAGUCCUGCCUGUCACAGUCUCGUCACCCGAAUACACAACGUCAGGUGUGGUGUUAGCAGGAACAUUGUGGAUCAAUGUUUCAAUUUUGGUUUGGAAUGAAAAAGUUACAGCUUCAUAAAUGGUGUAUGAACUCCACAAAAGUUGUGUUACUACUGCAGCUCCUCAUAUCCCUUGGGUGUGUUUUAGAUUUAUAGUAUUUAACCAUAACCCUGAUCAUUACACAGAUGAGUAAUAUAAAUAUGGAAUAAGUUUUUCUUGGCAGAACAGAAGAUCUUAAGCAUUCACGUCCUUAAGCAGGCUUUAUAUUCUUCACAUUCACAUAUUUUUCAUUCUUUCUGUCACGUGAUCCACAGCUCUCUGUUUUGGUGGGAAAGUGUCCUUUAGUAAUCAACUGUGUUCCAAUGUGCAUCACACACACACAGCGUGCAAACACACACACACACUCUCACAUACACAUACAAACGUGUGUUCUAAAGUAGAGGACCUACACUACAGAAUAAAAGUAAAUAUAUAGUGUGUGUGUUGUCAUCAUUAGUGUGUGAAGCUCUUCCUCUUCCUUACAGGAAAUCAUUAUUGUGCAGUAUAACUUCCUGAGGAAGGGCUUAUCAUCUCUGUCCAGAUGGACACACACACCAACACCCACACACAGAGCAGUGUGUGUGUGUGUGUGUGUGUGUGUGUGUGUGUGUGUGUGUGUGUGUGUAGGUCAGAAAUUAAGGUUCUUAGGGGUACUGAGCAGAACUAAGGGGUGCAGAGUGUCAUGUUUCCCGGUGUGGGUGAUGUGCUGAUGUGCUCAUAAAUCGGGGAGAAUUUCACGCCUCUCUGCAGCUCAGCAGAAUGAUUCGAUCUCCCACUAUGCAACAGCACUGUCGUCUCCGGGGACAGGGGAACUUCCCCUUCGGCUCCACCUUCUUCCAGCAGAAUGCCUCUACACACACACAGGAUUGUAAAUCUGCUUGAUUAAUCUGAUGCCCUACCUCUGAAUGGAGUUCCCUUCGAUAGGAGAUCACUCUGUGCAGAUGGAGAUGGUUCCACAUCAACAGCCUAAAGAUCCAUGAAGUUACUAAGCAACUUAAGUACUAGAAGUUUGGAUUUGGACUGUAAUUAUCACCACCAAUUUAAGCGUGCAUCAGUGAACAGUUCACAAAACUGCACACCUCAACAGUGAUGGAACUUUAAUGAAGGGACAUUCAGUGCCACCCAGAUGAGAAUGGCUUUGCUUCUGUAGUCUGUUUAAUCUCAAUGCCACUGGCUCACUCAUUAGGAAUAAACUUUGAGGUACUAAACUUGCAGGCACUAACAUAUAAAUUCAAGUUUUAUAACCUCUUUAUCUCUGUAAAGUUGCUUUGGGACAAUGUCCACUGUUAUAAUGCUCUACAAAUAAAAUUCAAUUAAAUUAUC
This is a long non-coding RNA of Silurus meridionalis, 1533 nucleotides long. RefSeq lists it as uncharacterized. The record is from RefSeq and is a predicted model, not a curated record. Lineage: Eukaryota; Metazoa; Chordata; Actinopteri; Siluriformes; Siluridae. The transcript is spliced from 4 exons.